ACUUUUGGAUCGGUACCUAAUCCAGAAAGGUCCAUCAACUAACUUACGUUGCCCAGCCAGCCCGCGGGUAAAUAACGUAAGGUGGGCAGCGUUGUCUGGAAUUAUUGGGCGUAAAGCGCGCGCAGGCGGUUUCUUUAAGUCUGAUGUGAAAGCCCCCGGCUCAACCGGGGAGGGUCAUUGGAAACUGGGGAACUUGAGUGCAGAAGAGGAGAGUGGAAUUCCACGUGUAGCGGUGAAAUGCGUAGAGAUGUGGAGGAACACCAGUGGCGAAGGCGACUCUCUGGUCUGUAACUGACGCUGAGGCGCGAAAGCGUGGGGAGCGAACAGGAUUAGAUACCCUGGUAGUCCACGCCGUAAACGAUGAGUGCUAAGUGUUAGAGGGUUUCCGCCCUUUAGUGCUGCAGCAAACGCAUUAAGCACUCCGCCUGGGGAGUACGGUCGCAAGACUGAAACUCAAAGGAAUUGACGGGGGCCCGCACAAGCGGUGGAGCAUGUGGUUUAAUUCGAAGCAACGCGAAGAACCUUACCAGGUCUUGACAUCCUCUGACAACCCUAGAGAUAGGGCUUCCCCUUCGGGGGCAGAGUGACAGGUGGUGCAUGGUUGUCGUCAGCUCGUGUCGUGAGAUGUUGGGUUAAGUCCCGCAACGAGCGCAACCCUUGAUCUUAGUUGCCAGCAUUCAGUUGGGCACUCUAAGGUGACUGCCGGUGACAAACCGGAGGAAGGUGGGGAUGACGUCAAAUCAUCAUGCCCCUUAUGACCUGGGCUACACACGUGCUACAAUGGGCAGAACAAAGGGCAGCGAAGCCGCGAGGCUAAGCCAAUCCCACAAAUCUGUUCUCAGUUCGGAUCGCAGUCUGCAACUCGACUGCGUGAAGCUGGAAUCGCUAGUAAACGCGAACAAGGAUGUCCGCCAUUGCC
Molecule: ribosomal RNA, 919 nt
Filed under: Bacillus piscis
Lineage: Bacteria; Bacillati; Bacillota; Bacilli; Caryophanales; Bacillaceae
Description: bacterial SSU rRNA
Rfam family: Bacterial small subunit ribosomal RNA
Source: RNAcentral